RNAcentral lists this microRNA precursor (196 nucleotides) under Medicago truncatula (barrel medic). Its description in RNAcentral is "MIR2670 microRNA precursor family". It matches the Rfam family "MIR2670 microRNA precursor family". The record is from Rfam by way of RNAcentral. Lineage: Eukaryota; Viridiplantae; Streptophyta; Magnoliopsida; Fabales; Fabaceae.
UUUGGGGGAAGUAGUGGUCCGUUAGGUUGGGGAAAAAGACAUCUUCCCUUGAAGUAAAAUUAGGUUUGCUUCCUUUUACUCCCAAAAUCUUUUUACCGUGGGUAAAAAGAAUCAUCAAAAGGAACCAAAUUUAAAUUUAACUCAAGGGGUCUUGAUGUCGUUUUUUCCAACAGGACGGAUCACUACUUUGCCCAAG